CGUGCCGCCUCCUUGCUGUUAAGGUACCCAGCAACCUAAAAAACAGAAGCAUGAGUUCUUCCAUAUCGAAAUUCACAAACGAAAAAUAGAAGCAACAAUCACAUACGAAUCCAAAUCACGAUACGGACUACCGAGUGGGCUAUGAUGGAAGUGUUCGCUGAUGGGCAGGUGGGUGUAACUUUCAGGAUCUCUGCUUUUAUCUUUCAUUAAAUUUUCCCCCCUUAAUUAUCAGACAUGGAAAAUGUGGUCGACCGUCAUGAACCAAGAACGGAACUUUUCACAAUAACUAUGAAAUAAAAGUCCAACAACGUAGCAUGCAAAAUUAAUUCUUAUUAUCAUCGAAUAUUUUGGGCACCAUCCUUAAAUUUAUCAACUUAAGGAUAAUGGGCAGACACCAUUCGACGAAAACAAUUCAGAAAAUUGAAAAAAAGAAUAUGAAAGCAAUGCCCGCAUUAUCUGCAUACCUCGGACUCGGAGUCGUCGAUAUCUGAUAGGCUUUCUGAGACAUCGCCAUCCGCAGUUGACAUUGCAGCUUGCCGCCUUCUUCUGUAAACUCUCGGUUCUUUUGAAUUUUAUGUAGUUUUAGGUCUUGCGGUUUCCAGUUUUCGUGGAACUAGAAUUUACAUCGACAGUAAUGUCGGCGACCAAACGAACCGACCUAGUUCGGUUUCCUUUUUAGAAUUGGAGUGGUCGUACUGUUCUCUUGUUCAAAUCCAAUCCGUCCACAUUUGGUUUUGAUUUUUCAAAACAAAGAUUCUAGUUUCUUUAUUUUACUACUUUUUAUUUUGUUGAAAAAGGUAAUUACAUAAUAAGCCCAAACUCUAAAGGGCUACUACAAGUAAGAGGCCCAAAAUACUAGGGCAAAUUAAACGGGGAACCAGAAAACUCAGCCCAAUCCGAAAAACAUAUGAUGAUUUUUUUUUUUUUAGUAUAACGAUAUAUUUUACAUUAAGGGGAGGGAGAGUUUGGCUAAACCACACAAUGGUCAUCUUAAUUUGGUAACGAAUUGCCUUGCCAAUCAGUAUUUUACUUACAAGUGAAGUACUGAUUGGCAAGGCAAAGUAACUUAGUUUAAAGAAAACAGCGAGAGAUUUUUUUUAUUUGCCACCUUAACUAUUAUCCAAGUUUCAAUUUGUUACCUGAAAGACAGUACCAAACUCAAAAAAUAAAAAAAUAAAUAAAUAAAUGUUUUGUUUUAGUUUGCCCCUACCAUGAAUUCAUUCAAAAUCUCCACCAAACGAAAAUACUCAUUUACAUUGAAUCACCUACCUUGCACAUACCUCUUAUAUGAGUGCAUUUUUGCUCACCACCAUUUAGUGUGGUCUAUGCUCACCACCUUAUUUAUCACCAUUAGAUGAGUUUGAAUUUCGAGAUUUGUGUUUAUCUACUACACGAAUCUCGAAAUUCAAACUCAUCUAA
RNAcentral lists this long non-coding RNA (1419 nucleotides) under Malus domestica (apple). Its description in RNAcentral is "long non-coding RNA (MDOM_LNC005284)". The record is from RNAcentral. Lineage: Eukaryota; Viridiplantae; Streptophyta; Magnoliopsida; Rosales; Rosaceae.